RNAcentral lists this long non-coding RNA (733 nucleotides) under Parus major (Great Tit). RNAcentral's name for it is "lncRNA (ENSPMJG00000014281.1)". The record is from RNAcentral. Lineage: Eukaryota; Metazoa; Chordata; Aves; Passeriformes; Paridae.
GUCUAAACAAAUAAUCAUAUUAAAUAAUGUUAUUUAAAUUUAAAUACUUGAAUGUUCACUUAUUUUAAAAUUCUCCACAUAUAUUUUAGCUGUGACCUACCCUUUAUACCAUUCCUCUGGAAGAUUCCAGCAUUGUUGCCAGCUGAUAUACAGAAUGUUCACUUAUGAUGCAUGGAUGGAGUAACAAAUCCCAUUGAUGCUGAGGAUUGUACAACAGCGUGUCCUGACUUAGUAAGUGGCACCCAGGUGAGAUCCAGCACUGGGGGCACGACUGCAGCCUCUAUCCACAAGAUGCACGUGAGUGUUGGCACCAUCAGAUCUGCUUCGGAUCCCUGGGCAUCGGAAGGAUCCAGAGUACUGGCAGCAGGAACUUACGUCUGCCAGCCCUGUGUCUUGGAUACCUGAGGACACCUGCAGUGAUGCUGGAUCCAGAGUUUCAGAGCUGGGGAGCAGCUACACACUUUUCCCUUGGAGAUUGUGUCAGGGCGCUGGAAGUGGGGGCUGAGGCUGGACUGUUCGAGGUGAGGUAAGGCCAAAGGUAAUUUCAUCAGACACCAGUGGAGCUGGGGAUGGUUCUGUGGUCAGAUGCCUCUUCUCAAAUCGCCCUUCCCUCUCCCUUCAGUGUAUUUGAAGAAACUAAGAAAAAAAGCUUCCGAAGGGCUCUGAAGAGGAUGAUUUGGGCUUUUUUGAGAAAGCAUGUAACUACAGGUCUGUUCCCCGCCGAGGAAGAUGG